This is a long non-coding RNA of Vespula vulgaris, 849 nucleotides long. RefSeq lists it as uncharacterized. The record is from RefSeq and is a predicted model, not a curated record. NCBI's taxonomy places the organism in Eukaryota, Metazoa, Arthropoda, Insecta, Hymenoptera, Vespidae. The transcript has 4 exons.
GUGUACAUGUAAGUAUAUGAAAUAUGUGUUUACAUAUUUUUUCGAUGUCGUCGAUAGAUGUCAGAAACAGUAAUCAGAAUUAUUCGGUAAUAUAAAGUAAAAUAAAUAUAUAAUAUAUAAUUUUCAUUGCUUGAGUAUCCAAAUUUUUACGAUUUUUAAUAUUCAUAUAGUUAAUGUACACAUAUAUUUAAUUUUUUUCUGCUAUUAUUACGCCACUAGUGAUCAUAUUGUUGAAUAGUCACCUGUUGAAUCCAACUAAAUUCUGUCAUACAAUUACAGAAAUAUCUCUCAUUGAAUGUAUAAAAAUAUCUAAUCUUUAUAUAAUUUAAAUUUCACUUAUAAUGACUUUAUAACAUAUCUAUACUUCAUUAAUAUUUAUUGUGCUACAAUAUCAAGAGUAGUUAGGAAAUGACUGCUUCAUCCCAAGGACCAUAGAUGUUAUUUUUAAAUUGUUUACAUCUAAUAUACCAAAGUGGACAAAUGAAAUGAAUGAAUACCACAACUAUGAUAAAAACAUAGGAGCAUACAUUAGACAUGGGAAAUAAUACAAAAAAUUGUACCGAAACAGUUAAAAGUGAAAAUGCAUGUAAAGGUGAAGCAAGUCUGGAUGCUAACAUUAAUGAACCAAAAAUAGAUGAAGUGAUAGACAAGGAAUCAGAAAAAAAGAUUUCCGUAGAACCAUACUUGUUAAAUAUUAAAUGAAUAUAAUAAUGACAUUUGGGGUGGUCCAUUCAUUAUAUAACCAAAUAAAUAUGAUAACAAAGAGAACUGGAAUACUUAAACGAAUCGAUAUACUGGCAGCUAAAUUAAUAGCUUCCAGUCGAGAAACAUAAUCAGAUUUUACAUUCU